UACAGAGGUCUCAAGCGUUGUUCGGAUUCAUUGGGCGUAAAGGGUGUGUAGGUGGCGCGCUAAGUCGGGUGUGAAAUUUCGGAGCUUAACUCCGAAACUGCAUUCGAUACUGGCGUGCUUGAGGACUGGAGAGGAGACUGGAAUACUUGGUGUAGCAGUGAAAUGCGCAGAUAUCAGGAGGAACACCAAUUGCGAAGGCAGCUCGCUGGGACGUAACUGACGCUGAGACGCGAAAGCGUGGGGAGCAAACAGG
Molecule: ribosomal RNA, 253 nt
Filed under: uncultured prokaryote
Description: partial 16S ribosomal RNA
Rfam family: Bacterial small subunit ribosomal RNA
Source: RNAcentral